UUGGAGGGCAAGUCUGGUGCCAGCAGCCGCGGUAAUUCCAGCUCCAAUAGCGUAUAUUAAAGUUGUUGCAGUUAAAAAGCUCGUAGUUGAAUUUCGGGGUUAGUAGGUUGGUCAUGCCUCUGGUAUGUACUGGUCUCACUGAUUCCUCCUUCCUGAUGAACCGUAAUGCCAUUAAUUUGGUGUUGCGGGGAAUUUGGACUGUUACUUUGAAAAAAUUAGAGUGUUUAAAGCAAGCUAACGCUUGAAUACAUUAGCAUGGAAUAAUGAAAUAGGACGUUCGAUCCUAUUUUGUUGGUUUCUAGGAUUGACGUAAUGAUUAAUAGGGAUAGUUGGGGGCAUUAGUAUUCAAUUGUCAGAGGUGAAAUUCUUGGAUUUAUUGAAGACUAACUACUGCGAAAGCAUUUGCCAAGGAUGUUUUCAUUAAUCAAGAACGAAAGUUAGGGGAUCGAAGACGAUCAGAUACCGUCGUAGUCUUAACCAUAAACUAUGCCGACUAGGGAUCGGAUGAUGUUAAUUUUUUAGUGACUCAUUCGGCGCCUUACGGGAAACCAAAGUGUUUGGGU
This 563-nucleotide ribosomal RNA is filed under the name uncultured Glomus. Its description in RNAcentral is "SSU rRNA". It matches the Rfam family "Eukaryotic small subunit ribosomal RNA", at positions 548 to 1112 of the family's 1831-position model. Lineage: Eukaryota; Fungi; Glomeromycota; Glomeromycetes; Glomerales; Glomeraceae. The record is from RNAcentral.